AGUGAACGCUGGCGGCAGGCCUAACACAUGCAAGUCGAGCGGCAGCGGGUUCCCGCGAGGGGAUGCCGGCGAGCGGCGGACGGGUGAGGAACACAUCGGAAUCUGCCUGGUUGUGGGGAUAACGUAGGGAAACUUACGCUAAUACCGCAUGCGACCCUGAGUCGACGGACUGGGGGUGAAAGUGAGGGACCUUCGGCCGUCACGCGACCAGAUGAGCCGAUGUCGGANAGUCUAGUUGGCGGGGUAACGGCCCGCCAAGGCGACGAUCCGUAGCUGGUCGUGAGAGGAUGAUCAGCCACACUGGG
RNAcentral lists this ribosomal RNA (305 nucleotides) under uncultured bacterium. RNAcentral's name for it is "bacterial SSU rRNA". It matches the Rfam family "Bacterial small subunit ribosomal RNA", at positions 30 to 317 of the family's 1533-position model. The record is from RNAcentral.